AAAUGGGCGAUGAGUAGGGCCAGUAAACCAUGAAUGGUAGCCAGAGAGUGAAACCCAGGGGCUGGAAGGUUUCAUUACCCUCUUCAUGGUUGAACCUACCCUAUGAGCUGUUAGGAAAACCUAAACGCAUCACCGGCGUUAUCGGUGCAGAGGUGGGCUCUUUUUCGGGAUAGUUGCCGGCAGAGCCAAAAAAGGUGGUACCGCGGAAUAAAAGACCUUCCGUCCUUUUU
RNAcentral lists this non-coding RNA (230 nucleotides) under Parageobacillus caldoxylosilyticus. RNAcentral describes it as "Geobacillus caldoxylosilyticus T-box sequence". It matches the Rfam family "T-box leader". From Rfam's summary of the family: Uncharged tRNA acts as the effector for transcription antitermination of genes in the T-box leader family. T-boxes are found upstream of many aminoacyl-tRNA synthetase genes and some amino acid biosynthetic genes usually in Gram-positive bacteria. Lineage: Bacteria; Bacillati; Bacillota; Bacilli; Caryophanales; Anoxybacillaceae. The record is from RNAcentral.